CACAUAGUUGGCCGCUCCUUCUUCUGCAGGUACCGUCAUUUUCGUUCCUACUGAAAGCGGUUUACAGCCCGAAAGCCUUCUUCCCGCACGCGGCGUUGCUGCGUCAGGCUUUCGCCCAUUGCGCAAGAUUCCCCA
This 135-nucleotide ribosomal RNA is filed under the name uncultured bacterium. Its description in RNAcentral is "partial 16S ribosomal RNA". The record is from RNAcentral.